AGAACUUUGUGAUUGUCGGAGCAGGGAUCUCCGGAUUAAUCACUGCCAAACUCCUGGAGGAUGCUGGACACAACGUCCAGAUCUUGGAAGCCAGUGACCGAGUGGGGGGGCGCAUUCUCACCUACAGGAAUGAGAGCAGGGGCUGGCAUGCAGAGCUGGGCACCAUGAGAAUUCCUGCAACUCAUGAACUAGUCCUUCACUAUGUACAACACUAUGGACUCAAAUUAUCUGAGUUCAUCCACGCAGAUGAAAGCACGUGGCACUUUACUAAUGGGAAACUCAACCGGGUGCAUGAUGUUGAUAAGAAUCCAGAUCUUCUGGGCUACACUGUGGAGGAUUCUGAAAGGGGGAAAUCUGCUAAACAGCUGUACUCUGAAGCCAUCAGAAAGGUCAUUGACGAAAUUGAGAAAGAUCCAUCACAGUGCCAGCGUGUCCUCAAGAAAUACGAUAUCUAUCCUGUAAAGCAAUAUCUAAAGAGAGAAAGUAACCUCAGCCGACAUGCUAUCCAAAUGAACAGUCCCUGUUUUACACGGCCUUCAGCGAAAAUCUGAGGAGGGAGAAUGACAUCAAUGUUGACGUCAACCUGAUGAAGUCAUCAACUUGAACUUCUGAGAGUACUGGAAAAUCAUUUUAGAAAAUAUAUGGAGGCACAGAUUGGCUGCCUCAGGCUGUGAGAAAAGACCUUCGGAGCAGCAGUGUGCUUCUGAAUUCAAGAGUUUUGGAAAUAAAUCAGACCAGCGAGGGUGUCC
RNA transcript from Lepisosteus oculatus (spotted gar), 749 nucleotides. It is a transcript of the gene named L-amino-acid oxidase-like, with no coding region annotated. Lineage: Eukaryota; Metazoa; Chordata; Actinopteri; Semionotiformes; Lepisosteidae. The record is from RefSeq and is a predicted model, not a curated record.